GACGAACGCUGGCGGCGUGCCUAACACAUGCAAGUCGAGCGGGGUUGAAGCGAGGGGUAACUCAAGCUUCUACCUAGCGGCGGACGGGUGAGUAACGCGUGGGCAACCUGCCUCAAGGUCUGGGAUAACAGCUCGAAAGGGCUGCUAAUACCGGAUAUGCCUAUGGCCUCGCAUGGGGCUAUGAGCAAAGGGGAAACCUGCCUUGAGAUGGGCCCGCGUCCCAUCAGCUAGUUGGUGAGGUAACAGCUCACCAAGGCGACGACGGGUAGCCGGCCUGAGAGGGUGACCGGCCACACUGGGACUGAGACACGGCCCAGACUCCUACGGGGGGCAGCAGUGGGGGAUCUUGCACAAUGGGCGAAAGCCUGAUGCAGCGACGCCGCGUGAGCGAAGAAGGCCUUCGGUUGUAAGACUCUGUCUGGAGGGACGGAAGGAAGUGACGGUACCGUCCGGAGGAGACCACGGCUAACUACGUGCCAGCAGCCGCGGUAAACGUC
Molecule: ribosomal RNA, 497 nt
Filed under: uncultured bacterium
Lineage: Bacteria
Description: bacterial SSU rRNA
Rfam family: Bacterial small subunit ribosomal RNA
Source: RNAcentral